This 497-nucleotide ribosomal RNA is filed under the name uncultured bacterium. RNAcentral describes it as "partial 16S ribosomal RNA". It matches the Rfam family "Bacterial small subunit ribosomal RNA", at positions 28 to 507 of the family's 1533-position model. The record is from RNAcentral.
GAUGAACGCUGGCGGCGUGCCUAAUACAUGCAAGUCGAGCGAACAGACGAGGCGCUUGCUCCUCUGACGUUAGCGGCGGACGGGUGUGUAACGCGUGGAUAACCCACCUAUCAUUCUGAGAUAACCUCGGGAAACCGGCGCUAAUAGCGGAUAAUAUAUUGCACCGCAUGGUUCAAUAGUGAAAGUCGGCUUUGCUGUCACGUCUAGAUGGUUCCGCGCCGCAUUAGCUAGUUGGUAAGGUAACGGCUUAGCAAGGCGACGAUGCGUAGCCGACCUGAGAGGGUGAUCGGCCACACGGGAACUGGGACACGGUCCAGACUCCUGCGGGAGGCAGCAGUAGGGAAUCUUCCGCAGUGGGCGAGAGCCUGACAGAACAACGCGACGUCUGUGGUGAAGGUGUUCGGAUCGUAAAACUCUGUUAUUGGUGAAGAACAGAUGUGGAAGUAACUAUGCACGGAGUGACGGUACCUAGUCAGAAAGCCACGGCUAACUACGUG